RNAcentral lists this long non-coding RNA (478 nucleotides) under Hordeum vulgare. Its description in RNAcentral is "long non-coding RNA (HVUL_LNC000175)". Lineage: Eukaryota; Viridiplantae; Streptophyta; Magnoliopsida; Poales; Poaceae. The record is from RNAcentral.
UAAUACAGUAUCCGUCAAAUCCCAACUCCAAUGGGCAUAACCUCCAUGUGUUAUCUUCCUGGUAGGCAUCUCCUCUCCAUCACGGGUUGACAUCCUCCUUCGCUGCUAUUAGCCUUUUUGUGGUGAAUUAGUUUUCAUACGGGAAAAUCAAGUAGAGAUGAUGACUUGCUGGCGCUACUCCAAGGAUGGUGUAACCACUGCAGCCAUGGAAAUUUUGUUGCGUGGACUCAGAGGUAGGCUUCUCUCAGCCACACACGUCUCCUUGCUGGACUGACACAUGAUCAUCGAGAUUAGAGUCCCAUCCUCCCACAUCCAUGCUGCAAUCAAUCUAGGAAACAUGGUACGAUCUAGCCUCUCAGGCUCCUAUGAACCUAUUUUUUCUCAAUCUUAUGAUUCUUGAAUCCCAUCAACUCCCAUGUUUUGACCACUCAUCCAGCAUCUAUUAAGAUGAAUUACACCACGAGAACUGAUGCCCCAG